CAGGCAGUAGGGAUCCAGACUCAUGCAUGGACUGCUGUGCCCUUCAUUGUCUCUAACCCAAGAUUGUCCUUCUGCAGCAGGGUAUUUUGGUGUGAAGCCUGCACUAAUCACCUGGUUAGAAGGAGGAGUCCUGGGGAGGCUGCCACGAAGCCUGUUUGCCUCUGAUCUCAAGCUGGAAAUCCAUCCUUGUCCCUUCUGCUCUCUCACCUCCAGUCAGAACUUCCUCAGUCAUCACAUGAAACAAAGUCAUUCCUCUUGGAUC
Suncus etruscus (white-toothed pygmy shrew) is the source of this 262-nucleotide long non-coding RNA. RefSeq lists it as uncharacterized. NCBI's taxonomy places the organism in Eukaryota, Metazoa, Chordata, Mammalia, Eulipotyphla, Soricidae. The record is from RefSeq and is a predicted model, not a curated record. The transcript has 3 exons.